RNAcentral lists this ribosomal RNA (216 nucleotides) under Glomeromycotina sp. Its description in RNAcentral is "partial small subunit ribosomal RNA". The stretch from base 40 to 216 matches the Rfam family "Eukaryotic small subunit ribosomal RNA", at positions 686 to 864 of the family's 1831-position model. The record is from RNAcentral. Lineage: Eukaryota; Fungi; Glomeromycota.
GGGUCAGUAGGUUGGUCGUGCCACCGGUACGUACUGGUCUCACUGAUUCCUCCUUCCUGAAGAACCGUAAUGCCAUUAAUUUGGUGUUGCGGGGAAACAGGACUGUUACUUUGAAAAAAUUAGGGUGUCUAAAGCAAGCUAACGCUUGAAUACAUUAGCAUGGAAUAAUGAAAUAGGACGAUCGAUCCUAUUUUGUUGGUUUCUAGGAUUGACGUA